RNAcentral lists this ribosomal RNA (293 nucleotides) under uncultured bacterium. RNAcentral's name for it is "partial 16S ribosomal RNA". It matches the Rfam family "Archaeal small subunit ribosomal RNA", at positions 455 to 747 of the family's 1478-position model. The record is from RNAcentral.
GUGCCAGCAGCCGCGGUAAUACCGGCAGCCCGAGUGAUGGCCGAUCUUAUUGGGCCUAAAGCGUCCGUAGCUCGCCACGAAAGUCCGUCGGGAAAUCCACCCGCUCAACGGGUGGGCGUCCGACGGAACCUACGUGGCUUGGGACCGGAAGACUCAGCGGGUACGUCCUGGGUAGGAGUGAAAUCCCGUAAUCCUGGACGGACCACCGAUGGCGAAAGCACGCUGAGAGGACGGAUCCGACAGUGAGGGACGAAAGCUGGGGUCUCGAACCGGAUUAGAUACCCUAGUAGUCC